UACGGAGGGUGCAAGCGUUGCUCGGAAUCAUUGGGCGUAAAGCGUACGCAGGCUGUUCGUUAAGUCGGGUGUGAAAGCCCGGGGCUCAACCCCGGAAAUGCGCCCGAAACUGGCGGGCUUGAGUGCGGGAGAGGGAAGCGGAAUUCCUGGUGUAGAGGUGAAAUUCGUAGAUAUCAGGAGGAACACCGGUGGCGAAGGCGGCAUCCUGGACCGACACUGACGCUGAGGAGCGAAAGCCAGGGGAGCAAACGGG
This 253-nucleotide ribosomal RNA is filed under the name uncultured bacterium. RNAcentral's name for it is "partial 16S ribosomal RNA". It matches the Rfam family "Bacterial small subunit ribosomal RNA", at positions 524 to 776 of the family's 1533-position model. The record is from RNAcentral.